AACCAAAAAAAAAAAAAAAAAACCCAAAGGAUGGAUGAACGAAUGACCUGUCCCACAAGAGGAAACAUCGAUCCAUUUUGAACAGUUUCCAUACAUCGAUUCAAAACGUGCAGAUCCUAACGUAGGAAAAUUCCACUCGGUGACUAAUCAAUUGCUAAAGGUCUGACAGACAAAUGAAGUGGUGAGCCUUUUAACUUGUCAUAAAUCUGCAGAAAGAAUGAAUGAAUAAAAUCAGGAUACAAAACUGCCGCAGAUUCUAAGCCCCUUCCACUUGCUUGCUCAUUCCUUCUCUAAUAGAAGCUGCUGAGUCAACAUGUGUCAUUGUCACCAGAUGAAUCAUAGAAGUCACUGGGGCAUGGUGUCAUAACUUCAGAUUCAAGUAACUGAACUACCCUGUGCAUGGUGGGUCGAUCCUCUGGGCUUGAAGAGACACAUUGGGUGGCAAUUGAAAGCAGCGCAUCAAGGCUUUCUAUUUGUACGCCCUCACAAUUGGGAUCAACAAUAUCUCGUUGCCUAUUCUCCGUGACCAAAAAAUUUAACUGCAGAAAAGGAAAUAGAUUGAAUAAAAAAUGGCAUCCCUUUGACUGCAUGGGUGUCUGCAUUUCAGGUAACUGUUGGCAGUUGAUGCAAUAACUUGCUUGGAAAGUUCACUUUGUGAAAUUAGAAAUAGCCUGAAGCCAAAGUCUAGGGGAGUAAAUGAACCAAGCAGAGUUUCAGUGUUCAGCCUCGGCUUGGUUCUCCCUCACCCAAGGUUGAACUUGACUCGGGCUCAUAGCACACCAGGGCACAAAGAAGUCCUGGAGCCUAGGUGCAGGCACACACCCUAGAAAGAAAAUAAUAAUAGUAUAACGAAAGUGUAUACCCAGCCUGUUCACAAGUUCACCAAACCCACUAGUUCACUUGCAACCCUAAAGGCAAGCAUUUGACGACAGAGAGAAAUAAGAGACAAGUCCAUUGCUUGAGGUGUUUUCAGAAAAUACUAAUCCAACAUGAUUGGACCCACGGUUCCCCUAGAAAUUUGUCGUGCUUCUAGUCAGUAACUAUAAUCAAUCAUAGAAGUAGACAGUACUAGCUAAAAUUUGACACAAAGGAAAUUGUUGAAAGAAAUAAUGAAUUGGGUCGACGUAGUGUGGGAAUACACUAAAAAAAAUGGACAUGUUUAUUGCACUGAAAUUUUAGAAGACAAAAUCCUUAUAAAUAUUAUCAAAAUUGGAUUAUAUUUCAAGAUUUAGCUCGUUGUUAGUCUAAUAGCGUUUAAUCUUACAUUCUAUACAUUACGCAUUAACCAUUAGCAGAUUAGAACUGUCCCUCACGAAUUAACUCUCAGCAGCCUUUUGAACUAUCCCUCAUGAAACAACUGGGAGCUUAAAACAAUAUAUAUAGUUAUGUACUGCAGAAUAAAAUAAACUGAGCAUUCAAAGACUAGACUAUGUUAAAGAAUUUGGCUAUUUUCUGUUCACUGAUGUUGGAAUUUUUUUUCUUUUCUAAAAACAAGUCAGAUUUCCUUGAUAGCAUUAAACAAAGCAAUACCAAAUUCUAGUAAAGACGCAGAAAAAAAGAAAUUUAUUUAACCAAAACCAGAAUUUUUAACAUGCACAGGGAAGAGGACCUACCCAACCAACAAUGUUAAGGCCCUUCUCAAUGAAUGAUGCAUCUGUGGGUCGCUUUCCACUUAAUACUUCAAGCACCAAGACCCCAAAACUAUAAACAUCAGUCUUUUCAGUUGCUCUACCACUCUGCAUGUAUUCAGGAGCUAGAUAACCAAAUGUUCCUGCAACAGUUGUUGUAAUGUGUGAUUCUUCAUCCUCUAACAGUUUGGCAAGUCCAAAGUCAGAUACACGGGCCUCCAAAUUGGCAUCAAGCAAAAUGUUGCUUGACUUUAUGUCACGGUGUAUGAUCCUAGGGGAACAGUCAUGAUGCAGGUAGGCCAGUCCUUUUGCUGCUCCCAUAAUGAUAUUCAGACGUGCAUCCCAGUCCAGUUGCUCAGAUCUUUCGUGGAGUGCUUCAUCAAGACUACCACCAGCGAGGAAAUCAUAAAUUAACAACUUCGAGGUAGUAGAAUUGCAAUAACCUCGCAAGUUCACCAAGUACCGAUGUUUUAUGCUUCCUAGAAUCUCAAGUUCCCUCUCAAAGAAACGAUCAAAACCCUCAUUCAUCCUUAAAAUUCUUUUCAAGGCAAAUACAUUGCCAUCAUCCAUAGCAAGCUUGUACACUUUUCCAAAGCCACCACAACCUAUGAUAUGUUCCUCAUUCAAGUUCUCUAAUUUCUUAAUUAUGUCUUUUGAUGAGUAUGGCAAGUCCCCAUGAAACAUUACAAUUGAAGCACCUCCACUAACAUCCAUUGCAUCACUUUCACUUUUACCAAACUUCUUAUAAAGAAAGCAACCCCAAAAACACAUAAGUGCCACCAGAAGGAGUGCACCAAUAGUUGCCGAAGCACUAAUAAACAGUCUUCCUGAGUAUUUCUUCUUUCCACCUUGAUUUUGGGCUAAAAAUGGUGCAAUGUUAAUUAAUCUCCACUAAGAUAACGUGUAAAGGACCAAAUAACACACACAAUAUUCUGUCUGAUACAAAUUUAUGUUUUAAAGCGUCUUCAAAAACUUGAGAGAGUCAGAUUUUAGCUCUUUACAUGGUUAAGUUCAUGUCAUGAGCCAUAUGAUACUUAAAUGCCCAUGUUUUUAAGCAUUCUAAAGGCGGAUGUGCACAGUAUCCAGAAUUGUGGAUAUUAUACCUGGCAAGUAGAGAUGCCAAUGUGAAUUAUAUAUAUUUAUCGAAGAAUCAAUUUAUCAUGCUUGCAAUUUCACCUGAUUGAGGAGAUUGUGAAUUAGUUGAAGGUCCUCCACUUUCAUCUUUACAAUUCAUAUUGAUCUGCCUCCCGCACAAGCCACGAUUCCCAGCGAAAGAGCUUUCUGUAAAGUUGAUAAGCACACCAUCAGAUGGUAUUGGUCCAACAAGAAAAUUGUUCGAUACAUUGAAAGUAAUGAGUUUAUUUAACUUCCCAAUAGAUGAUGGGAUUGACCCACUGAGAGAGUUGCUUGAGAUAUCCAAAUAUUGAAGCUCUGACAAGUUUCCUAGUUCACCUGGAAUUAGCCCACUUAAGUAGUUACCCUGCAAGUAUAUUCCCUGCAACUCCGUGCAAUUUCCCAAUUCUGAAGGAAUUGUUCCAUAAAAGUUGUUGUUGUAUAGAGCUAAAAUCUUCAAGUGCUCUAGCUUCCCAAUGUCAGGAGAUAUAGGUCCACUUAAUUUGUGAUUCUUCAGACUCACAUAUAUAACUCUCUUGGUUUUCUGAUCACAGGUCACACCUCUCCAAUUACAUGGGUCAGGAUCCUCAGGUCUCCAUAGGGGAAGGAUACCAUCUGAACUAACAAUAGCAUUCCUGAAGUUUAGAAGUGCCUCACCAUCAGGAUUGAUAGCUCUACUUUUGUUUAGAAGGAUAUAGAACAGUAGAAUGUGAAAAAGCCACAGCCCUUGACAUCUCCUCAGAUACAUGGCCAUUAUGGCAUUGGUAAAGCAUAAUACAGCUACUACAAAUCAUCUGACAGACCAAAGUCCAAAAUGCUUCCCUUGUAACAUAUAUUUAUCUGGUUGAUGAUACCAUAUGGCAGCCAAAAAUGAAAAAAUUUGCCAGACAUGAAAUCUACACUGGUCAGGACAAUCUACGAGAAAAGUUGGCUCUUAUAAUCCAGUGUCAUCCGUCAGCUACAACAACAUACAGAACUUAGAUUCGAUCUGUGAAGCAAAAAGAAGACAGCGAGCUGUAAAUUGAUACCAAACAGAAGAAAACAAAAUAAAAACCAAAACCGCCUCUCUCUAAUAUUCUUUCUAUCACAGAUUUCCUCACGGAUUUUUCUUUUUUAGAGAGAGAGAGAGACUGUGUGUGU
This 3881-nucleotide unclassified non-coding RNA is filed under the name Hevea brasiliensis (rubber tree). The record is from RNAcentral. Lineage: Eukaryota; Viridiplantae; Streptophyta; Magnoliopsida; Malpighiales; Euphorbiaceae.